Molecule: transfer RNA, 71 nt
Filed under: Sinotaia quadrata
Lineage: Eukaryota; Metazoa; Mollusca; Gastropoda; Architaenioglossa; Viviparidae
Description: tRNA-Ile
Source: RNAcentral
GAUACUACGCCGGAUGAACGGAAAUCAGUGAUAUUGAUUUUAUAAAAAUUAUUGAAAAUUUUUUAGUGUUU